RNAcentral lists this long non-coding RNA (1604 nucleotides) under Struthio camelus australis. Its description in RNAcentral is "lncRNA (ENSSCUG00000002167.1)". Lineage: Eukaryota; Metazoa; Chordata; Aves; Struthioniformes; Struthionidae. The record is from RNAcentral.
UUAAAGGUAGUUCUUGUUAGAAGAGCUGCUUGAAUGUUGUGAUAUUCAUGAGGUAUGUUGAUAUUCAACAUCCAAUAAGAUGUCUUUCCGUUCAUUUAGCUUGGUGGACAACUAAGAUCCAUGAAAUAACGUACUCAGAAAUGUCAUUGGCUAAGUCAAUUUUAGAUUACGCUAUCAUGAAUAACUCUAAAAUAGAGUUUUAAAAUAGUUCCACAAAUUUGUUUCACAGCUCUACGUGAAGAGGACCAUAGUCUUGCAAGAAGAGUGAGUUAAAGAAGAUUUUUAAUCCGGGACUAAUGUGCAAAGGAGGCUGACAGCAGGAAGCACGACACGUCUCUGGGUCUGGCACAGGCGUGCCAGCGAGGACUGCGCUGCGAGAGGAGGCAGCGGGGUGGCCUGCCGGGGCAGCUCCCUCCACCGCGGCAGCCCCCCGGAGACGCGAGAGGGCCAGCAGCUGAUUAGAGGACCCAGGUCAGAGAUUCUUGAACUCAGAAUUUGGCAGGCGAACGGAGGAGGAAGGGAUUUUACAGUAUUGUGUUUUAAAAUGCAUUUAUUCAUAACUUUGAAAGCUGCAGACAUAUUGUGUUACUGUGUCAGGAUCUGAAGCAGAUGUUUAGACUUUACAGAAAAGGAUGUACGGAGAGAUUUUGAGUUUUCCUGUAAUUUUAAAUAUUUUUACCUCUAGUUUUAUGCACUGAUGCCUACAGAGAGACAAUCUAUGUAAAUAUAUCAAAAUGCCUGAAUAGGAAGGGGUUUUUUUCACCAUUAGGCUAAGUAAAUCAAGAUGAACGCAUAGUCUUCUGCCAUAACACUGGAGCCAACGCAGUGCGUCAUUUGCUAAGAAGCUUGAAAAGGAAAGGGUACAGGAAUCACUAAGGGUAAGAUUUCUCAGAGUUUUCCAAAAUGUGAUCACACCUUAACAGAAGGGUUACAUCACUGAUCAGUUUAUUCAUUUCAUAGUUGUUUGGGCUGUCUCUGUUUCCAUAUGUAUUUGCAUAAGAGAUGUUGGUGAAGCCAGACCAAUUAGUAGGUGGAAAAAAACUAUGUUAUAGGAAAGGAAUAAUGUCUCCUUAGUUUUCUGUUAAUAUGAUUUAUUAGGUUUUUGUAAGAAGGAAAUACCUACCGCACCACUGUCCCUGAAAGCCACUGGAAAAGGUUCUUCAGUCAGCUCUACCAGUCUUCACGUUGCAUCUGUCUGCUGAAGAACAUGUACAGGGAGCAUCUACCUGUGUGUUUUAGUUCAGCUCAGGAGUGCACUUUUGAGGAGAAUCUCCCAGUUGUCUCCACUUACCUUGCUCUGAUUUGCGUUGGCAAGUGAUCUUGGAGCACGUGAACUGGAUUCCUUUCACAUGAAACUACGCUGGAAGAUAUGCUCCAGCAUGGAGGCUAAUGUGCUCCAGCUGCUAGAGGGCUUUCAGGCCCUGGGAUCAAACUGGUCCAAAGUUUAACCGAAGAAAAAAAAAGUCAAAAAGCCCUACCCUUCAAAUGUCUACAGUAUGGACUGUGGGUCCUCAGCAGCAACUUAGUCCUGAAGUACUCUUCCUGUUGGUCUGAACUACGUGCUAAUGUGGAUGUAUGUGCUUAGCCUCAGUAACCAUUGUUUU